GGAAGCAAGGGUGACAUGGCUGUAACAGGUGUCACUCCACCAUCAGGGAUUAUUUGGCUUGUCAGUCCAGUGACCCCUUCUUCACUCACUCUUCCACAUGCCUCCUUAAAAACCAGAUGAUUGGUGGAAGAGGAUGGUCCACCCAGAGAGGAGGGCCAGGUUUUGGUAGAGGGUAUGGUGAAUGAGGGAAAUGU
Molecule: small RNA, 194 nt
Filed under: Microcebus murinus (gray mouse lemur)
Lineage: Eukaryota; Metazoa; Chordata; Mammalia; Primates; Cheirogaleidae
Description: 7SK RNA (ENSMICG00000024828.3)
Rfam family: 7SK RNA
About the family: 7SK was discovered as an abundant small nuclear RNA in the mid-70s but a possible function has only recently been suggested. Two independent studies have found that 7SK RNA binds the CDK9/cyclin T complex (known as elongation factor P-TEFb). P-TEFb activates transcription by phosphorylating the C-terminal domain of RNA polymerase II.
Source: RNAcentral